RNAcentral lists this ribosomal RNA (310 nucleotides) under uncultured bacterium. RNAcentral describes it as "bacterial SSU rRNA". It matches the Rfam family "Bacterial small subunit ribosomal RNA", at positions 27 to 334 of the family's 1533-position model. The record is from RNAcentral.
GGACGAACGCUGGCGGCGUGCCUAACACAUGCAAGUCGAACGGAAGUAAGAGGCUUCGGUUUUGCGUUUAGUGGCGAACGGGUGAGUAACGCGUGAGGAACCUGCCUUUCAGUGGGGGACAACAGUUGGAAACGACUGCUAAUACCGCAUAAUGUUUCCGGUCCGCAUGGACUGGAAACCAAAGCUUUAUGUGCUGAAAGAUGGCCUCGCGUCUGAUUAGAUAGUUGGUGGGGUAACGGCCUACCAAGUCAACGAUCAGUAGCCGGUCUGAGAGGAUGAACGGCCACAUUGGGACUGAGAUACGGCCCAG